RNAcentral lists this ribosomal RNA (484 nucleotides) under uncultured bacterium. Its description in RNAcentral is "partial 16S ribosomal RNA". It matches the Rfam family "Bacterial small subunit ribosomal RNA", at positions 30 to 507 of the family's 1533-position model. The record is from RNAcentral.
AUUGAACGCUGGCGGCAGGCCUAACACAUGCAAGUCGAGCGGAUAAAGGGAGCUUGCUCCUGGAUUCAGCGGCGGACGGGUUAGUAAUGCCUAGGAAUCUGCCUGGUAGUGGGGGAUAACGUCCGGAAACGGGCGCUAAUACCGCAUACGUCCUGAGGGAGAAAGUGGGGGAUCUUCGGACCUCACGCUAUCAGAUGAGCCUAGGUCGGAUUAGCUAGUUGGUGGGGUAAAGGCCUACCAAGGCGACGAUCCGUAACUGGUCUGAGAGGAUGAUCAGUCACACUGGAACUGAGACACGGUCCAGACUCCUACGGGAGGCAGCAGUGGGGAAUAUUGGACAAUGGGCGAAAGCCUGAUCCAGCCAUGCCGCGUGUGUGAAGAAGGUCUUCGGAUUGUAAAGCACUUUAAGUUGGGAGGAAGGGCAGUAAGUUAAUACCUUGCUGUUUUGACGUUACCAACAGAAUAAGCACCGGCUAACUUCGUG